UAUUAAAAAUUCAUCUCUUUGUAUUAUUAAAAACUGGUGUGGUUAACAAAAUAACUAGAGAGUGAUGCUGCGUGAUACGUGUGCCUCAUUUUGACGUACGGUGAGUAGUAUUUAAAAGUAGAUAUGGAUAAAAUUUUUAACA
Gossypium hirsutum (cotton) is the source of this 142-nucleotide non-coding RNA. The record is from Rfam. Lineage: Eukaryota; Viridiplantae; Streptophyta; Magnoliopsida; Malvales; Malvaceae.